RNAcentral lists this ribosomal RNA (433 nucleotides) under uncultured bacterium. Its description in RNAcentral is "partial 16S ribosomal RNA". It matches the Rfam family "Bacterial small subunit ribosomal RNA", at positions 29 to 507 of the family's 1533-position model. The record is from RNAcentral.
AACGAACGCUGGCGGCAUGCCUAACACAUGCAAGUCGAACGAGACCUUCGGGUCUAGUGGCGCACGGGUGCGUAACGCGUGGGAACCUGCCCUUAGGUUCGGAAUAACUCCCCGAAAGGGGUGCUAAUACCGGAUAAUGUCUUCGGACCAAAGAUUUAUCGCCAUUGGAUGGGCCCGCGUUGGAUUAGCUAGUUGGUAGGGUAAAAGCCUACCAAGGCGACGAUCCAUAGCUGGUCUGAGAGGAUGAUCAGCCACACUGGGACUGAGACACGGCCCAGACUCCUACGGGAGGCAGCAGUGGGGAAUAUUGGACAAUGGGCGAAAGCCUGAUCCAGCAAUGCCGCGUGAGUGAUGAAGGCCUUAGGGUUGUAAAGCUCUUUUACCCGGGAUGAUAAUGACAGUACCGGGAGAAUAAGCUCCGGCUAACUCCGUG